AGUGAACGCUGGCGGUAGGCCUAACACAUGCAAGUCGAACGGCAGCACAGGAGAGCUUGCUCUCUGGGUGGCGAGUGGCGGACGGGUGAGGAAUACAUCGGAAUCUGCCCAGUCGUGGGGGAUAACGUAGGGAAACUUACGCUAAUACCGCAUACGACCUUCGGGUGAAAGAGGGGGAUCGCAAGACCUCUCGCGAUUGGAUGAGCCGAUGUCGGAUUAGCUAGUUGGCGGGGUAAUGGCCCACCAAGGCGACGAUCCGUAGCUGGUCUGAGAGGAUGAUCAGCCACACUGGAACUGAGACACGGUCCAGACUCCUACGGGAGGCAGCAGUGGGGAAUAUUGGACAAUGGGCGCAAGCCUGAUCCAGCCAUACCGCGUGGGUGAAGAAGGCCUUCGGGUUGUAAAGCCCUUUUGUUAGGAAAGAAAUCUUUCAGGCUAAUACCCUGGGAGGAUGACGGUACCCAAAGAAUAAGCACCGGCUAACUUCGUG
RNAcentral lists this ribosomal RNA (490 nucleotides) under uncultured bacterium. RNAcentral's name for it is "partial 16S ribosomal RNA". It matches the Rfam family "Bacterial small subunit ribosomal RNA", at positions 29 to 507 of the family's 1533-position model. The record is from RNAcentral.